Oncorhynchus mykiss (rainbow trout) is the source of this 8550-nucleotide RNA transcript. It is a transcript of the gene named zinc finger protein 646, with no coding region annotated. NCBI's taxonomy places the organism in Eukaryota, Metazoa, Chordata, Actinopteri, Salmoniformes, Salmonidae. The record is from RefSeq and is a predicted model, not a curated record.
AUAGGUGUUUGAUGCAGACUAAAAUGUUAUUCUGCGCAUGAUGACGCGCAAAAGUACGUAUGCCUCCGCUUCACACGGCUAGCUAGCAGGAAGUAUGUUGAAUCCGUGGAGAAAAAAAUGACCGAAGAACCAAAGUCGGUUGUUGAUCUGAAAAAAUAACAAGUCUCCUAAAUGAGAACGCAAAUGCUGCGUUUUUCAGAUUCGGCAUCAUUCGCUCUGGUGCAAAGAACGUCAUUAAACGGUGCUCUUCCAGUGCCUGCUCCGUGUCCAGAUCCUUCCGGUGCUGCCCUGACGGGGUGGUAUUGAAUGGCUGAAAGAGAAGACUUUCUUCAGCUCUGGGAAGAAAAUGGCUGACGCCACAGAGUCCAAGAGCUAAGACUCUAUUUUACCCUUGUCUACUUUUGUUUAUUAUCUUGAGAUUUGAAUACCCCUUCCUUAAAUGUAUACGCCUACUAUGGCAAUGCAUGAUAUGAGCCGUGUCAAGGGUUUCCCCUGUAAAGAGUGUGAUAUGGUUUGCCCCAGUACCCCUAGUCUAUUAGAACACAUGAAGGCUCACUACCAGCAAGAAGAAAAUGGGAGGUUUGAGUGUGAGCAAUGUGGCCGCAUCUAUAAGCAUGCUGGCAGCCUGGCCAACCAUAAGAAAUCCCAUGAAGUGGGUUCCUUUCAGUGCCCAGUCUGCACCAGAACCCUGCCCAAUGCUGUGGCUCUGAAGAACCACCUCCGUAUCCACACCCUAUCCCCAAGCAGUGCCCAGGCAGAGGAAGACGGUGGUGACGAAGGCGCUGAAGACGGACAUGAUGAGAGGAACUAUGGUCUUGCACAAGACCUGUCUGAUGGCUUUGCCCGCAGUCACCUGAACAACAGUGGAAUGGGUCAUGGUGUGAUGUCACAUGACCCAGAUGAUCAUAAGAAGUCACCUGUAACCGAUGACGCCUGGGAUCGUCCAUUCAAAUGCGAUCAGUGUGAUAGGACCUACCGCCACCAUGGGAGCCUGGUUAAUCACAAGAAAUGUCAUCAGGAAGGGGCGUUCAAGUGCACCGUCUGUUACAAGCAGUUCAACAACCUGGCUGCUCUCAAUGGUCAUGAGCGAACCCACUCAAAGUUUAAGACUCCUGGAGCAUCGAUGGUUAACAACAUACAUGACUCUGUGACUGAUCAGCGUUCGUCUGCUCCCCAAACCGAUGAUGCAGCUAACUGCUUCUGCCACCUGUGCCAGGUAGCUUUGCCCAACAAGAGUGACUUCCAGGAGCACAUCCUGUUGCAUAAUGCAGCCUCCUCUUCACUGGGUCUUUCCCGUAGUUUCCCUGGGAUAAUGGCGCACAAUCUCAGCACUGUCCGCUCCCCAGCAUACACACCUGCCCUGGGUGACCCUCUGCCGCUUCCUCCUUUGCCAAAUGAUAAACGUGGCCCCUUUGACCCAAUGCUUGGACCUCCUGUUAAUAAUCCCAUUUACACUUGUGCAUACUGUGGGGCUGGGCAUCCUGAUCUGGAGAGCCUCAAAGUUCAUUACCUGACCCAUGACCCCCACCCAGGCUCCCAUGGUCAGGAUGGUAUCCUGAACACUGAUGGGAUUGGCUCUAACUCUAACCCAUCACCAUCUGGAGAGAGAGUGCAAUCUUCUUCUGAUGAUGGCGAACGUCGUUUCAAGUGUCAGGAUUGUGGGAAAAGCUACCGCCAUGCUGGAAGCCUGGUCAACCACAAGCGCUCCCACCAGACUGGCCUCUACCAGUGUACCAUCUGCUGCAAGCAGUAUCCGCACUUGGCAGCCUUGCAUAGCCACCUCCGCAGCCAUAAGGGAAGAACAUCCAACCAAUCAUCCCUCAACACUGAAGGUGACUGGCUCUCCUCGGAACCCCUGACACUUGACUCUCAGAAUAGUUAUGUGCAGGAGGGGAGCGGCGCAACCACCCCUAUCUCCCUCCCUGGAAAUCUUGGUGACGCUGCUCACUUUGUACCUGAUGGUGGACACAGCAGUGGUUUGGAUUCACUGGAGUUCCAUGAUCGAUUUGAUGGCUCCCUUGCCCAGAGCAACUCUGGGCACUCCCCUCUUCCCCAGAACCACCGCCAGGCUGAUAGACACAUGUGCACUGACUGUGGAGAAAUGUAUGGAGACAUCUCUGGCAUCAAGUCUCACAUGUGCCCCCAACGGCGACAGAACCAGGGGAUGUCCAAUGGAUUCAUGGGAAACAUGAGUGGCUACAACAGUCCUGGAGGCGCUGCGCUCCCUUCAGGUGGAGGAAAUGUGAAAGAGAGCAAUGGACAGCGCUCUCAGUAUGGUUCUCAGUCCCAUGCCCAAGGAGGGGGGAAAAGGAUGAAUAAAGAAGAUGAAGAUGAUGGUGAAGUGUACCAGUGCUCGGUGUGUGGAAACCAUUAUGCCAGCCUCAGAGCUCUGAGGAGCCAUCUGCGCAGCCAUGCUAACAAUCCCACAGGGCCUGGGACUUCGGCACUUUCGCCUAACGGUGAGGCAGACUGGAGGAUUAUCUGCAGCACCUGUGGCCAGAGCUUCUCCAGAAAGCAAGACCUGUUAAACCACCAACUGAUUCAUGGGCCACAAAGGUCCGAUGCAGCAGCGCAGAGCAUGGGGGCCGAUCCCACCAAUACUAAUGGCAAAAUGGAUGGUGAUGGGAGGAAUCACAUUUGCGUUGACUGUGGCAUGUUCUUUGCUGAUCGCCAUCACCUGAUUACUCACCUGUGUCCUGGAAAGGGAAGAGGAGGAGUGCUGAGCAAAGAAGGAUUGAAUGGCGCUAAAGGGAUGACUGGCGGAGACGGAGUUGGUGGCGGCGGAGUUGGAGGACCUGGGGGCAGUCGUGAUAUGGGAGGACAGGACCGUAGACAACAGAUGCCAGAUUCAGAGGAUCGACCCCACAAAUGUGACCAGUGUGGAAGGGGCUACAGGCACCCUUGCUCCCUGCUCAACCACAAGAAAUCUCACAAGACCGGAGUCUUCAGAUGCCUUGUCUGCCAGAAGCGCUACUACAACCUGCUGGCCCUUAAGAACCACCAGAGGACCCACUUUGAUUUAAAAAGCAAGGCUGCCGCUGGCACAGGGAGAAGCGGUCCCCAAGUGGCACCCGAUUCCGAAACGAUGGCUUUACUUGAAUGGCACAAGUGUGAGGAGUGUGGGAAGGCCUUCAAGAUCCAGAAGCAGCUGGAAAACCACCUUCGGCUCCAUGAAGAACACCGAGCAAAGGCUCACGCCCAGCUCGCAAAACUAGGCAAUGGAAGGUAUCAAGGAGGACCCUCUGGCAUGCAGGCCAUGAGAGGAGAAUCGUCCAAAUCCCAGAACCCUGGCAUGGGGGAAGUCAAGUAUGGACAACAACAACAAGGCUUCAAGCAACCCUACUCAGAGGCUGGCACUUCAAGGGCUCAGAAUUUUGAUCUACAAGAAGGGGGACGACGACCCUUCGCCUGUGAUGAGUGUGGACGGAGCUAUCGUCAUGCAGGUAGCUUGGCCAAUCACAAGAAUCUUCACAAAAUUGGCGAGUAUCACUGCAAUGUCUGCAACUCCACUUACCCGAACCGCCUGGCCAUGAAAAACCAUCUGCGUCUUCAUUUUGCCCUCAAGAAGCACACUUGCCAGGAGUGCGGCAAAGGAUUCCGUACCCAAAAGCAGCUGACCACCCACCACUCUGCACAGCUCUGCAAGGGGGCUGCAGGUGCUGUUGCUCAAAUGGAUUACGAGUGUGAUGGGUGCUGUGAGGGUUUCGCUACUGCAGACCAGCUGGCUGCACAUGACUGCCCUGCUCAGCAGCUCCCUUCGUCCUCUGCCUCCCUCAACAGCUCAAGCCUCAGCAUCGAUGGGGCUGACCUUGUGCCAGAUGAACGCCCCUACAGCUGUGACAUCUGCAACUGCUCUUACAAACAUGCCAGCAGCCUGCUGAACCACAAGCACACACACAAGACGGGCACUUUUACUUGCACCUACUGCGACAAGCCGUACUCCAACUACAUGGCGCUGCGCAACCACAUGCGCAUUCACACGCAGAAGAAGAGGCACAUCUGCCACCACUGUGGGAAAGCAUUCCGGCUAGCCAGAUUCCUCCGCAAUCACCAGAAGGUCCAUGAGGAGGGCCACACACGCUUUGGCUGCACCAGCUGCGGGAAGAGCUUCCAGGGGAGGUCAGGCCUGGCGAGGCACCGCUGCGGGGAGAACCAGGUAGGCAAGGAGGGCAGGAGGAUGGCCACUGCAAGCACGACAGGGGGAGAAGAGUGCCGGUACACAUGUGACCAGUGUGGCCGCUCCUACGCCCAUGCCAGCUCCCUCCUCAACCACAAAAACACCCACACCGUCGGCAUUUACCACUGUGCUGUGUGCCUCAAGACCUAUUCCAACCUCCUGGCCCUCAAGAACCACCGGCGCAUCCAUUCAGAGAUUCGGCGUCACCGCUGCCCAGAAUGCGGCAAGGCUUUCCGUGUCUCCUCCCAGCUCAACAGCCACCGUCGUGUCCACCUAAAGGAGAGGGAGCUAACUUGUGGCCCCUGCCAGCGCAGCUUCCCCAGCCAGGCCAGCUUCCGGCUCCACCAGGAGAUCUCUCACGGCCAAGCCCCCAGGCCCCCCCAGCAGAAACAGGCCAGGGCUGGGGGAGCCUCUGGGGGCACAUCCGGGGGCGGGAGCUCAGGCCUUAACUGGGACUCCGGCCUGGAUCUCACGCUGUUGCAGGCCCAAGGACUGGUCCCCAAUGGACUACCCAAAAUGAACUCCCUGUCCUUCCAAGGCCCCAGUGGCAGCAGGAGCCGUGGGGCGACGGGGACCAAGUCGCACGUCUGCAACCAGUGCGGCCGCGGCUACCUCCACGCCAGCUCCCUCCUCAACCACAAAAACAGUCACAAAACAGGCGCCUACUUCUGUAACUCCUGUCAGAAGGAGUUUCCCAACCUGAUGUCCCUCAAGAACCACCGGCGUAUUCACACUGAGCCCAAACGUUUCCAGUGCCCCGACUGUGGAAAGUCCUUCCGUGUGUCCACCCAGCUCAUCUGCCACAGGCGCAUCCACACCAAGGAAAAGCCCUUUUCCUGCCAGCAAUGCGACAAGCGCUUCUCCAGCAAGUCCAACCUGCGCCACCAUCAGAAGGUGCACUGGAGCAGCUCAGCGCCCCCCACCAUGGCCAUGGGCGCUGCCAGCUUCUUGGGUAUGCCCUCAGGCCCAUUUCUAUAAGUAUGGGUGGGGGGUGGGGGUGCUAGUGUGAGAUGCAUUGAAAUGCCAAGGUUUUAGAGGUGCCAAAACUCUUAGUCCCCUUCCUUCUCAUUCACCACCAUCUCGCUCUUGUUGUAUAGUGUGAGGUUUAUAUCUGUAUAUUUUCACAGAACAGAUGAUGUGUUUUAGAGACCCAGGCCCUGCAUGCAACCUGAGACCAGGGAGGGUAGAGGGGGAGAGGACUGACUUGGCAUGGACGACAUCUACACUGGUUAAGACAGUCUGGUGGCAAAAGCUUCCCCCAUCUGCUUCAUCCCAACCAGCAUGGCUACUCUUGCUUGCAUUCACUCGAUGGCCUUUGCUAGGGGACAAGAACCCAUUCGCCUGUAAUGGUACACAAGGAUUACUGCUCACUCAGUGUAGGAUGCGUGCUAGACUUCUCUGUUCGGCCCUUUAGAAACCUUAAUGAUAUACUGUUGUCAUAGCCCCUGUUGCAUGUUGCACAGUAGAUGAUUGUAGAUUUCUCUGUGUUUUAUUGACAGUUAAGCCCCAGUGUCAAAGUUACAGCAAACCUGGCACAUUAGGAAGAACAUCCUUAUGCCAUGCCAAGAGUGUGGCGUGAAGCUCACCAAGUCAACCACAUUGAUGAAUUUGACCAAUGUUAAGGUUUUCUUUGUGGCAUCUUUGCAGUUUGAAUGCAUUGCACAUCACGACAUCCCAUUCCAUAUCUGUUGAUUUUGGAUAAAGCCUUUGCAUGCGGCCUUUGUCCUGUUCUACAAAACAUCUUAAACACACGAAGAUGAGCUUCAAACCUUAUUAUUCUGCAGAUGACAGCAAUGCUCUUUAUCGGUUGCUUCUUUCUGGCAUCACAUUUGUGUAUUCCUCCUAAUAUUUAAAAAAAAAUAAUAAUAAUGUUUCUGGGCACCCAUAUUUUAAACACUGCGCCUAACUAGUAAACAUGUAUAGACAAUAAGUUGUGGUUUUAAAAAAAAAAAAAAAGGAAAAAAAAGGAAAGAAAAUGUAUAUUGUUAGGCCCAUGCCGGCAUUUGGUUUUAUCCUGUAUCGUAAUCGUACUUCUGACUGUAUUAUUUACAGUUGACUUUUAUAAAACAGAUCAUUGUAGAAUGCAUUUAUUUAUAUUAACACUUGUAAUGGAAAACGCUAGUCUUAGGAUCUCUGUUUAGGAGCUGUGUUGUAACCACCCCCUUUCCUUACACUUACCCCUGACUAUUCAUCCUGUAUGUAUAAUUGACAUGGAGUCAAGUAUGAAGGACUCCCAAAGAACACUUGUUACAGUACUCCUCCAUGUUGUCUCAAUUUGUUAUGGUUUUACAAAAAAAAAAAGAAAGUCCCUUGUACAAUAAACGGGGAACUUGUAUAAUGUGUGUUUUUGAUUGCAGUACAAAGAUUUAAGGAAUUAUUUCUGAAGUGAUGUUGUGACCGUCUCCCCUCAAGUCAGACUGGACUUCCUUUUGUUUCACAAAAAGCUCACACUCAAAAGGGAUGACUUUGUGAAUUGUUUGUGCGUUCAGUCCUCAUUCUCUUUAAGUUUUUGUUACACCUUAAUCGUAACCCUUGUAUUUAUUAGUAUUUCUUUUAUUUAAUUGCGUUUUGACUAUUCAAAGGUCUGUGUGAACACCUUUUACUGGGAGCGCUGGUGCUAGUAAGUGAAAUAUAAAGUGACAGUGAAGUGAUUUUUAAGAGCAAUGUGCUAACUAGACCACAGGACAACUAACUAUAUUUUAAUUGUUUUCUCCAGAAUUGGUUAAAAGUGGACACUUCCAACCAUCAUUACGGUUAGAUUAGAAAGGAUUAGGUUUGAACAACUAUAAUGAAUCAUUUUCAGUUCUAACUUUUUUGUUUCAUACAUGUAUGUAAUGCCUACUACACACUUUUAUAAACUAUGUUUUCAUAAUUCAUUUCUUAACAAAACCUGUCCAUAUUAUAACCCCUAAUGCUGAGUACUGAAAAUAAAUAGUUGGAAAACAAGUCAAGAACAUUGUGGUGAAUCAAUUGUCCUUUAACUCCACGCUUUUAAUGUACUUUUGAAAGUGUUGUGUUUAAAUAAUCAACUUGUUUUCACACAGGCCAUUUUUAACCUGUGAAGGUGAAAUCAACCUGGGUUAACUCGACCUUGUUAAAGACCUGGCUUGAACAUUUUCACUUCAGUGAAUUGGUCAACUUAAAAUGUGUCUAGUUGAGGGGCCAAAUAAUUGACCUGUUUGAGGAUAUGUAAGGAAGGGGGGUAUACAAUUGCAGAUCUUUAAGCAAAUGAUGUAGACUGCGGAUGAAGUUUGAUCAUGUUAUUUACCUUGUUGCCUUUGGAAAGGCUGGUGCCCUCAUCAUACACCUAGGCCGUUGCUGAUAUUUUUUCCACUAAAUGUUAUUUUGACCAAUCACAUCAGAUCUUAUUCAGAGCUGAUCUAUAUUAGAUAAAAUGGCAAUUAGUGGAGAAAAAGAUUGGCAUAAGGCUCCCUGUAUAAACACAGCCCUAGAGGAUUUGACCUCUUGUCAUUUUCAGUCAUUUGCUCAUGUUAGUCCAAACAAUAAGGAAAUGGACACUAAUGCACCUAUAUGUAAUCUUUAAGGUACAAUCUUUGAAUGCAUUCCAUUAUCUUGAUGCUAGAAUAUUUGUUUGUUUUAUGCAACACACAAUCACAAUAAUAUUGAGUUUACAAUGUGGUUGUUGAAAAUAUACCUUAAUUUAUAAUCAACCAAAUGCGUUUAGAGCUCUUUCAUCCUUGGAAGAAGAAUAUCCUCAAACUCCUUUCUUUAGUUUUUCCACUUAGCUGAUGUUUAGACCAACCUCAUUUUUCCACGUAGGGUUUUUUACAUUUUUUAUUAACCCAGUCAAGUCUGAGUGUGCAUAUUUGCCGCUAGUUAGCUUAGCACGCUAACAUAGUGUCCAUAUGGAAUCUGUUGAGCUGAUGCCAACGUCUAGCAACCACAGUGCAUUUCUAUUACAUGUUUUUCAAGAGUGUGGUCACUAUACACGUUGGAUGGAGUGUCUGCGUGGUGGUGAAGUGUGUUUUUGGAUGUCUACUUUUGUUCAAUUGCUUCCUAUAAGCUCUUAGAUUAAUAUGUUAAACUAACAAGUGGCUGCUCAAAUUAAUGACAUAAAAUAUUUUUGUCUGGGUUGAUUAAGGAACAGUCAAGUAUUUGUAGAAACCAAAUGAAAUCGUUUUUUUAGUAAAUUGUCCUACGGGUUGUAGAAUCAACAUUGCAAUAUUGCAAUUUUUGUGUAUUUGUCACCAUGAAUAUGAAACUAGCCCAGAUAUUGAAGACACAAAUCUCUCACCCGUAAUCUUACACAUGUAACUCUGACCUGUUCCAUAUUUGUUUUGUUUUCAUGUACAUUUCGUCUUUUAUAUAUGCAUGAUAGUUUGUGCUUAAUAAAGAUCCACCCGUGUUGAAUA